RNAcentral lists this ribosomal RNA (1042 nucleotides) under Leotiomycetes sp. genotype 135. Its description in RNAcentral is "eukaryotic LSU rRNA". The stretch from base 448 to 1042 matches the Rfam family "Eukaryotic large subunit ribosomal RNA", at positions 1 to 599 of the family's 3401-position model. The record is from RNAcentral. Lineage: Eukaryota; Fungi; Ascomycota; Leotiomycetes.
GAUCAUUACAGAAUCGGUGACCCUUGCGGUCCCAUUCUCACCCUUUGUAUACCAAACUUAGUUGCUUUGGCUGGCCCUCGCGGCUGGCCAGAGGACACAAACCCUUGAAUCUUUGCUGUCUGAGUACUAUAUAAUAGUUAAAACUUUCAACAACGGAUCUCUUGGUUCUGGCAUCGAUGAAGAACGCAGCGAAAUGCGAUAAGUAAUGUGAAUUGCAGAAUUCAGUGAAUCAUCGAAUCUUUGAACGCACAUUGCGCCCUCUGGUAUUCCGGGGGGCAUGCCUGUUCGAGCGUCAUUACAACCCUCAAGCUCAGCUUGGUAUUGGGCUCGCCUUUUAUAGGCCUGCCUCAAAAUCAGUGGCGGCUCCGUCCAGUCUCAAGCGCAGUAAUACUCGUCGCUUGUUAGGCUUGGUCGGCGGCCUGCUAACAACCCCCACUUUUACAAGGUUGACCUCGGAUCAGGUAGGGAUACCCGCUGAACUUAAGCAUAUCAAUAAGCGGAGGAAAAGAAACCAACAGGGAUUGCCUCAGUAACGGCGAGUGAAGCGGCAACAGCUCAAAUUUGAAAGCUGGUACUUUUAGUGCCCGCGUUGUAAUUUGUAGAGGAUGUUUCGGGCGCGGUGCCGGUCUAAGUUCUUUGGAACAAGACGUCAUAGAGGGUGAGAAUCCCGUAUGUGACUGGUUGCCUGUGCCCAUGUGAAACUCCUUCGACGAGUCGAGUAGUUUGGGAAUGCUGCUCAAAAUGGGAGGUGUAUUUCUUCUAAAGCUAAAUAUUGGCCAGAGACCGAUAGCGCACAAGUAGAGUGAUCGAAAGAUGAAAAGCACUUUGGAAAGAGAGUUAAACAGUACGUGAAAUUGUUGAAAGGGAAGCGCUUGCAAUCAGACUUGCGCGGCGUCGAUCAACCUGGGUUUUCCCUGGUGUACUCGGCGUCGCUCAGGCCAGCAUCAGUUUCGACGGUGGGAUAAAGGCUUAGGGAACGUGGGUUGCUUCGGUGACCGUUAUAGCCCUAGGUGCAAUGCCGCCUGUCGGGACUGAGGACCGC